This is a long non-coding RNA of Cloeon dipterum, 3318 nucleotides long. RefSeq lists it as uncharacterized. Lineage: Eukaryota; Metazoa; Arthropoda; Insecta; Ephemeroptera; Baetidae. The transcript has 3 exons. The record is from RefSeq and is a predicted model, not a curated record.
CCACGCUUGCUUCACAGGACCAUGCUAUGAGCCAGAACUGCGUGAAGAAAUUUUGUUUGUUUACUUCUGCCAACCCAAGAAGAACAUCUGUGCAUUGAAAAUUAACGAAAGAACCUUUUGGAGAAAGAUUUUCUUGAACUUGGAUAGGGUGUCACUAAAGGAGUCAAGAGAUGCAGCAGCGAGUCAGAGAAGUAAACACUCCCAUUCAAAUAAUGACGCUGUGUCCGACCGACGUCGGACGGCUGUCCUCGCAUCGCAGGUGGACAGGGUCAGGCUGAGGAAAUUGGCCAUGAAGGUCAUGAGUCAUGAACCUGACAGGAAGAGACGAAAAUUUGCCGGAGGUGGUCGCAAAAGACGAUUAAAUCUGCUAUUUUUGCAUCUGGCAGGCCAAGUUUGGAGAUGAGUCUGUUGCUUGGCGGCCGAAAAAUUUAGAUUUGGAUGAAAACGCUAAGGUGCUCCAGGAGGAUUCUUCAGGAAAUUUGGUGGGCAUGUUGAGCAGUGUUGGGCGCAGUUGGAAGAGGUUGAUCUGGCCAAAUACACAAGAAAAUCCCUAGGAAGAGAAAUUACAUCAGUGGAGUGCGUUUUACUGCUGGAUCACGUCAAAGUGAUGCACAAAGAAGCCAUCAAAUGCGGAAUUUUUGGCUGCACGACAUUCUUUCACAGUGAGGAGGAAAAAGAGCAGCACAUGCAGCAGGAUUUUCAAAAGAAACGUAACAAAUUAAUGCGAAUUUGGAGAAAACAUCAAUAUUUUUCCCUCAUUGAUAACGUAGAGGCUUCAUGUGAGUUUCCUGCAUCCGGAAUUUCCGUUGGCGUGCCCGCGUUUUGGCUGCAAAAAUCACUUCAAAUCCAAGUUGGAAAUGAUUCUCCACGUCAACUCGAGAGUCGAGGCACAAACUAAACCGAGAAGUUAACCAAUGCAAGCAUUGCGAGUAGAUAUCUAAACUAGCUGCGCCACACCAGCCAGCCACUGACAUUUUUUUUUAUCAGCUCAGCCAGCUUAAAUCAUUUUUUCAAUUUCACUUGCCCUAAAUUAAAAAUUUUCGCGCCUUUCUGUUUCAUGGAUGUGUUUUACACACAAAUUACUUCGAUUAUGUGCUCUGUUAUUCGUGUUAGUUUAUGUAACUCGCAACCAGAGAUCUCAAAACAGCACUUUUCUGGAAAAAACCCCUUAGGAUUUGCAAAAAACUGUUUUUAUGGUUGGUUUUUGCAAGUUUUAUGCGUUUCUAUAAAAGACCGAAUAUUUUAACUCUUCGAUUAUCGUAAUUUGCAAAAUUUCAGGCUAUUUAUGACUUGAAAUAUGCCUCUUUUGGGGUUCAUAAAUUGGGAAUAAUGCGAUAAAACUCAAAACGCUUGCUUUUUUCCAACUGGUUCCGUGCGCAUUGAAAAAUUGGCGAAUCCUGUUCGCAACGUAUUGAUUUAAAACUCGUUUUCACCUAAUUCAAAUCAUUUUACCUCAAAAUUUUACUAUUGCUUUUUAGUCCUAAAAUUUAAACUCUAUUUAUGGCAAUUUUUCAAUGAAAAAAAGGAAAAAUAAAAAAAAUUACUUAAAAGCGGAAAUAAAAAAAGUCUUUGGCGGCUAUUAUUUUAAAGCAACUUUCAGAUUACCAGUGUUCACCAACUUUGCAAAUUGCAAAAAAUCACCUAGGAAAUUCCACUAAUGUUUUGGUUAUUCUGCAUUUUCCUGUUAAACCCCAAACAUAUAUCGCGUCAAAAAAGUCAGAAAUUUUGGAAAUUUACAAUCUCCGCUGAGUGUUAAGAUUCUCGACCUUUUGGUGAAACGUACUGGUUCUAAAUAUCCUUAUUUUUGGUCAUCCAGCAUCAUAAGAAUUUUUUAUCUUCAAUACCGCAAAAUUUUAGAAAAACUGGCAAAAAGACCACUUUUAUGUUAUCAAGUUUUGUUUUUCCGGACAAAUGCGAGUUUUUGCCAUCCAUGCAGUUACACCCAAGUUGACAGAAGUUGCAACUUUUGAAUUAUGCAGUCUUGAAAUGCACAUGAGCCGGUUGCUACCUCGGAUUGAAGUGCUGGGCCUUUUGCUUCAAUUGCACAGGAAGAGAUGCCAAAAAACCUUCCGAUGAAAAUGUUCAGUAGGGCUGUGAAUUUUAGAAGAUUAUUUUCGGGAAAAUAGUUGACUAUAUUUCAGCGGGUUUUCAGAUAAAUUUAGAAUAUUUUAGUCGAUUUUUUAAAUUUGGAUAGUUUUAGAUGAUUUUGUUAUUUAUUUCUAAUUUUAUUUUCUUGCAAAAGACACGUGGCGUCGUGUCAAAUUGUUUUUACCUUUAACUUUCUAAAUUAAAUUGCGCCGCAUGCAGAGCAAAUUUUCAAAUGUAUCGUUACUGUUACAACCUCAAAUCUCGGGUUCUAAUUUUUAGAAUUGCAAAAACUGCAUACCGUUCAACUCGUCUUGACCUUCCCUAGACAGCCAAAAUGUUUUGAGGGUGAUCAACCCUCAACCCCGUUUAUUAAAGUAACGAGAAAAAUCGCGUCGUUUUGCACUUUCAACAAAUUUAUUCACUGUUCAAAAAGCUCUUAAAUUGAAAAAAUCUACCCCGAAUUCCAUUGGCUCUCUAGAGGUUAAGACAAGUCGAACGGUGAGCAGUUUUCUCAAUUCGACAGAUUUUUUUGCAAAUAUUUAAACUUCUGCCAAAUCUUUGGUUCUAAUUAUCAGAAUUGCAAAAACUACCCACCGUUGGACUCGUGUCGACUUGCCCUGACGAGAUGAGUGGGUGCUUUCCCUCCACCCCAAAAGAUGCUACACUUUUUUCUUUUUUCAAAGGGGUUGAAACAUACCAACUUAAGGGUGGAAGGAAUACACCCCUGAACCUUUCAGCUGGUCAGGGCAGAUAGAAACGAGUCCAGCGGUGAGUAGAUUUUUUUAAUUUCUCGUGAUGAGAAAAAUGUUAAUUAAUGUUUCUUAUUUAAUUAAAUAAUAUCAUUUCAACAAUUUUUAACCGUGAAAUAUUCAGAAUAGUCGGUUAUAGACGAUUUUAGACGAUUUAAGAUGGUUUUGGCAGUUUUAGACGGUUUUAAGUAUGGUUCAAACUGCUUAAAAUUGCAUGAACACAAUGAUUGUCAGAAAAUUUACAAGCGAAAGUCUCGUUUGUUUGUAUUCUCAUAUUGUCAGGAAGCACAUUUUUGUUUCAAUAAAAUUACUAACGGAAUUAUUAUAAAUUGUUGCGUAUUGAAUUUUACAAAACCUUUUAAUAAUUACCCUUUUACAGUUAUUUUGCUUCUUAAAAAAAUAUCUGAACUAAUUAUUCCUGUGAGUGUGUUUUUGUCUAAUGGAAAAAACGAAGGGUUGUGGAGUGGAAUUUUGAGAUUAA